AAGUGGAUUGCUGUUCUUUGUGUGCUGUUGAAUCCUAUUGCAGGAGUUGAGCCGCUUUCUGUGGAGAGAUAGGUGUAUUCCAAAGUCAGGCCGCAGAUGGCUUGCAUCUUUAACACGGGAAUUGAUGCAUAUACUUGGUGCAAAUUAAAAAUGCGGUCUAAAAAUAUUGUGAGGACUCCCCAUGUUUUACUUUGAGGUCCAUAGGCAAAUGAACUUGUUACGUAGGCCUGAAAGGUUGGCAAAUACAUUUUCCAGGUAUUUUUUAAAAAAUUUCAGUAUUUGCUGGAUGGGAAGUGAAAAAUGUAUGUUUUCCAAUCCUAGCUCUUUUCUUUAAGGAAUGCAACUCCUAUUACUGUUUAGUUGAGCUUCUCAUAUUUUCAAAACAAUUCAGUGCUAGUUCCCAUGGCUUGUUCUUGUAUGCUACAGCGUAAAUUUAGCCAUGGCAUCUAACCCAAUGAACAAAUUAACAGUUAAAAGUUGUUGGUCAUUUAAGGGUGUUGGUUUGUUCCGUUUGGAAAUGUUUCCCUUUUUCUAUUCGUAGUCCUGGAUAGAUAGGAUUUUUUUCUUUUUACCUCCACAGUAGCAACCUGAUAAAAAAGCUUGACCAUUUCACAAACGUGCUGUUUGAGAAUUGGAAUGAAAGUAACUGAGUGUAUGACUAAUAGAGAAGAUUUGUGUAUAAUAGCUGCUUUUUAAUAUGUGUUACAUAAGUAAUAUGGUGAGGUGGAGUUCAGUUAUAUAAGAACUGACUGGGGACUUGGGAGCUACUGUAAGUAGUUCAUAUUGGUCGCAUAUAUGGCCUGCAGGGCAUCCCUGUGUUGUGGGAGGAGGGGUAGAAAAACAGGAUUGGAAGCAUCUAACAGCACUACAUUUUUCCUUUGUAGGUUUAUAGAGGAUACCAGGAAAGAAAGGGAGAAGGCAGUAAUUAGGAAUUACUAUGUAGCUUUCAAACGUCUGUAGUCUCAUUUGAGCUUAGGUUUUAGGGUGUAAACUCUGUUUUCUAAAAGAGCAGUCUCCCCUCUUUUGAGUGUCAGAAGGUGUCUGCCAGCUGAGCAUUGUGCCAACUGACUUCUGUGCGGGCUAUAAAGAGCAAGAUUCUUGUGUCCUAGAGAUUGUGAGGCUGUGCCUAUUUUUUUGUUACCAAAAAAAAAAAAAAAGCUUACUGAAAAUGGUGUUAGGACGAGGCAGUUGGUUUGUUGAUCAAACAUUAAAAUGACUGGAUUACUGAUUCUUCUUGUGUAGGCAUCAUAUGACACAAGGUAAAUACUCCUUUGUAAUGGAAGCUUCCAGAGAGGCUUUCAGUGUACAGUGAUUCUUUUAACAGAGCACUGAUUUAUGUGGGACUUGACAUUGUGAAUCUGCAAUGUGUUGCAGAUAUGUUAAAGGGAGAACAUUAAUUUCAACUAAAGAUGAGGGGAAAAAACAUUUUAUUAGUACUUGCAUUUAGGCAUGUGUUCUGUAAUUAUGAAACAGUAAUUGCUUGUCUCAGUGUGAAGGAAUUGUUUGAAUGCUUAUGUUAUAGAAUAGUUUAUGUAGAAAAUCAGCUAGAAUUUUAAUUCUUAAAGCAGCCUUUUAAGUAACUCACUUUGAUAACAGAUUUUGCUUGAAAACCAAGAAAUGAAUUACUUUAAAAGUUCACUGUGUAACUCGUAGCUUAUUGCAGCAGUACUUGAACAGAGGUGUGGCUUUGCUUUUAUGAAGCUAUAGAAAUGAAGGCAAGUUUUAAUGAGCUGGUUUCUUGUUUUUUUGCAAGGUUGUUUUUAUUAGCAGUUCUCAGGAAAGCAGUUAUCUUGAAAGAAGCAGUAGCUCUGGUAGUGUUGCAGUGCAGUCUCAAAACUGUCAUACGUAUUCUGAAUUAUUUGUGCUGGAGGAGAUAAGUAAAAACAAAAUGUGUGUAUUUCUUUGAGACAGGGCAUUUGUCCUACAGCUGUUCUGAUGGAAGCUGUUGUAAUCUCGAAGGGAAGGAAGAAAAGGGCUGUAGGAGAGGGAGACUGGGUAAAAAAUGGUGUGUAGUUUACAUUUAUGGUAGCUUACCAGGGAAACAAGCAAUUUCUACAGAACUGCAAUUUGCUCCUUAACGAGGCUACUUCAGUGGGCUGGCUGCUCUCCAGCACUUAAGACUUGUGGCUCUAACCUGCCCUGGUAGCCUGUCUGUGCACGCAUGUGUGGCCUGAGCCCUUGCUAAGACCUGUUAUUUAAACAGUUGUUUACCUUUAGCCAUACAAAGGGACUGACAGGAGUUCAAGGGUAUUUAGGGGAGAAAGGAGAGAGAUACUAACAGUGUAAUAGAUCUGACUAUGCAUUAAUGUCAUGGUUGAGACAGUUAAAAGUGCUCAUGCUGAAAGAUGAUCCUGCACUUUUUCAGCUGUUCAUUCUUGCUUCUGCAAGUGAUCAUGGGGGAAGUAGAAGUGAAGAAUGGAUGAAACAUAAGCCUAAUAGUAAUGGAUGGUUUUCUAAUGUGACUCUUCAUUGUGUGGCUUGACAAACGUUCCUGUUUGAAUGGGAGCAGAAUGAAGCACCUGCUGGGAAAAUGGAGAUAUGCAGGUUUUAAUUGUGAGUGAAGUUAGGUAUGCUUUUUCUCAGGAAAGCUGCAGUUUUUAAGGAGUUUUGAGGGGCAUCUCUUAAAGGCUUUUGGCUAGUGUAACUAGAAUCACUGAGCCAGGCACUCAAAAAAAAAAUUCUAAACUUUGAGUUUAUAAGUCAUUGCUAGAUUGACCUUCAGUUGCAGGUAGCAAGAGCACUCCAGCUUCACUGAAUUGGUACCUGUAAAAUUAAGUAAAGUGUUAUGCUCAGCUACAGGCUAGUUAAGUGUUUAUAGGAUUUGAGAUUUAGGUUUAUUUUGUUGGAACAAGCUAAAACUUGAAAUAAGCCUGCUUCAUCCAGAAGUGGCUGAUAAUCUAAUAACUGGGAUAUUCAGUGAAGAAUUAUUCCUACAGGAUGAGUACUUAGCUAAUCAUAAAAAGUGAUUCCUGUGGGUCGCUAGUAGUCACUAGCCAAAUGAAUUUGCACGAGGAAAAGGAGUUCUAGUGACUGGCAGCUGAUCACUUUAUCCACCUGGAUUUGGACAGACUGUGUUCAAUGCUGAAACAGCAGCAGGACAGGAACUUCCAUUGGACAUUGCUUUAGGCUUUGUGUUGCAAUGAAUCUUUCUGAAAAAGUUUCUGAGAUUAGUAAGGUUUUGCUUUAGCAGGAAAAUAGGUUAUUGGCUGGUUAUACAAUUCUUAACAGUUCCUCACUUAAAGAAGCAACCUUAAAGCUGUGAUGUGGCCUCCUAAUCCUGGAAUUAGUGGGAAUUUGUACCAGGUUCACUGCUGUGACCUCUGUGUAGUAAGUGGGGCACUGGUUUGUUUUCUGCUCCAGCAUGACCUUGUUAUUUGGAGUCUUUCUGAUGAGCUACUAGUUGCUUUGGAGAGCAGUGUUAAGGUCCAAGUAGCUACUUUCAGAAGUGAGGUUAUGCUCAGACAUGAUUAUAAUGCAGCACUAGCCCUGAAAUGCUGUUAAUAGCAGUUAUUUGAUGAAAAUAACCAGUGAUUGAAUGGCUCAUAGGCAGUUUAUGCAAUAUGGUGCUUUUUGGAAGAAAAUGGGGGACAAUACUGCCAGUUUGGAGACUUGGACUGUGCCAGAGUUGGGAAAUUACUGAACCAGAGACUCUGGCAUCCCAUAAGUACGGCUGAAGGUGGUCCUGUCACAGAAGGCAAGAUUUUGUGUUCCUUGUAAGCUCAGAAACCAAGCAAAUCUUAGCUGCUGUUUUUUUUUGUGCUUAUUAAGUGUGGGGAAAAGAAACUGUACCAAAACUUCUUGCUGUGACUGCUCCAUCUGUGAGCUUGUUAAUGUGGCAUGGUCAUGCAGUAGAUGUUACUCAAAAGUAGAAAUGCAGCAGCUUUAUUGCAGCAGUAUAUCUUGUCUCUUCAAAGGUUUAGCUUGUGGAGACUGCUGCAGUCCUACUCAGUGUGAUCUGUUACGACGUAAAACAGAAAUACUCAACGGGCUGAGGGAGCUGGGGCUUUUCAACACAGAAAAGAGCAGGAGAGACCUUAUUACAGCCUUCCUGUGUUUAAAGGUAGCUUAUGAAAAACAGAGUGACUUUUUAUAUGGGCAGGUAGUGAUAGGAGAUGGGUUUAAACUAAAAGAUGAGCGAUUUAGAUUGGAUGUUAGGAAGGGGUGCUUAGAGGAUAGUGAGGUAUUGGAAUAGGUUGUCCAGAGAAGUUGUGGAUGUCCCUUUUCUGAAAGUGCUCAGGUGCAGAUUGGAUGGGGCCCUGAACAGCCUGGUCAAGUAGAGAUGUCCAUGCCCAUGGCAGGAGCUAGGAACUUGAUGAUCUUGAAAGUGCCUUCCAACCCAAACCAUUCUAUGGUGUCUGACUGUUGAAGGUGCGCUAAGAAUACCUUUUUGACGCUGAGUAUCACUGGUUAUAGUAAUGGAUUUGUUUCCAGCAAACUUCAGUAGGUUGGUAAAUAGUGAAUAAUUUGUUUUCGUAUUUCUGUUUAGUAUUUUAUUGACAAAGCUAGUAUCUUUUCUGUCCAGUUGGCUGUCGUAUAUGGAUUUUUUGAUAACUGUUUGAUCCAUUGCUAAUACAGCUGCUAUAGACGAACCAAAUACAAGUCCAAAACUAGCUUGUGUGGCAGAUUUGAGGUGUUAAAACUAGUGUGGAGGGCACAAGAACUUAAGCUGAAGAGGUAGCUGGGAAACAAGCAUUAGCAUCUAGUUCUUGUGCUAAACUCCCUCCUUCCACCUUCCUGCCUUUACUUAGCAGGUUAGUCAUGACAUGGGACUGUCAUGAUUCCCUGAAUUUUAGUGAAGUAAGGUAAAAAAAUUUGGAGGUACAGAACUGUGCCACUUUUUUAAUAAUCCCUCAAAGAGACUGUGGCUGGUUGUGAUAUUGAGAUAGUAAUUUAAUCUCUAGCCUAAGAAGUGCUUUACCAGCUUUAUUCCCUGGUACGUGCUAAGCAGUGGUUGUGCCACUUCAUUUUGGCCCACUGUGUUUGUGGCCCAGUUUGUCAGGCUGAUGAUAGUUUGUGCAGUAUGGUCUUUUCUGUUGAGCCAGGGUAAGCUGGCUGUCUCAAAUUCCAUCCAGAACAACUAUGGGUCUUCUAAUUAGAGAUGUAUUAAAUAGUACUGAAUGUCAUUGUCACAAAUAUCCUGGUUUAGAAGACUACUCUUCAUAAAACAAAACUAUUGCUUUUAUCAGAGUGGUGCUACUUCAAAUUCAUCUUCAAAGCUGUGCUCCCUUACUCCAGCAUACAUAUGCUGGAACAAGCUCAUAAGCUUAUAAAGACAUGCUGGGCAGUUGUCAGAUCCUAUUUUUAAACUGUUUCUGAGAAACACUUCUGCUUCCCUAUCUCUGCAUAGUCAUAGGAAAGGCUGUACUUCAUGCAGGAGCCGUAAUGUCUGGGCUCAGCUAACAGUAAUUUUUGGACUUGAGUAUCUCCUCUUCAGAGAUAGUAAAAUUGAACUGCACUGAUUGCUGUUGCAGAGGGGAAAUAGGAUCACUAGGAAAUAGUGGCAGUGGGCUAUCGACUCCUUGACUUCUAGCUACAAACAAUAAAAGAUUGUACAGAUAUCUUCACUCCUGUGACCAGUGACAGGGCUGGAGGAAAUGGCAUGAAGCUGAGGCAGGGGAACUGUAGGUUGGAUAUCAGGAUAAAGUUUUUCACCCAGAGAGUGGUUGAGCACUAGAAUGGGCUCCCCCAGGGAAGUGAUCAUUGCUUAAUCUGCUACUGAUCUGCAGUAGCCACUUUCUAUAAUUGUGUGACACUACUGUAUGCCACCUUUACAUUUUCACUAACAUUGGAAAACUGCAUAAAAAUGCAACUGGGUUCUGUAGGCAACUAAUAUUUUAAGACUUUUUCUCCCUGUGUCUAACAUUGCCUUCUUUAGUCUAGGCUUAAGUACAGACACUAAGUAUAGGUGUUCCUGUAGUCCUAUGGUGGAGAGGGAAUUCCAGAAUUGAAGGACUACUUCAGAGAACUUCAUGUAGUUUGGGUCCAAAAAUGAGGAAUACCAAUCAAGCAUUUAGACUUGAUUAUGUUCGUCUCUUAAAACUGGCAGGCAGGGAUAUUUCAUACUAAGGAAACUACUAUGAACAGGAAGAAAAAAAUCAUGCUCCUGUAAAAUGAAUUAUACAGUGCAAAAUUAACAUACUGAGUUCUGUGUGUCUUAGAACUCUUUCAAGGCACUCCUGGGACCCUGCAAUUGCUAGUGUAGACCUAAUUGAUGGGAAGGAAUAGUAAUUUCAAAGUAUUAUUAGGACUGAUGCCUGAGGGCUGUAGCCAAGCCUACUCUACAUCUAGGAGUUGACAGUGCAGGGUCUUCCGAUUUCUUUUUUUCUAGAAUAGGCAAGCCCUUAUUCCACACUUUCCACAGAUUGUGUGCUACAAAUAUUAGUGGCCUUGUAAGUGCAACUGUUAGUUAAAUUAGUUUGUCUUGUCUUGUGUUUCAGUGAUAUGAUUACAUAAUAAUCCUGUUCCCCUUUCUGUUAACUACUUCAAUUUACUUAAACCAAGGAGAAGAGCAGUUACCUAAAUUUUGCCUUGUAGGCCGAGUGUUUCUGCUUAAAGGAAGGAGAGGAACUUAACAUUGGACCUGUUUUAAGCUCAUCCUACAAUGAGCAAAGCAGGGUGGUGUUUUGGAUAUGAUAGGGUAUGAUACCUUUAGUCUGUUUGCUUAAACGUGCCCUUUAAUUUCAGUAAUGUAAUGACAGUGAAAUGGGCUAUAGAACUGUUAACUCACUUAAAACAAACCUCAUCAAUUCCACAUAUUUCUGUAACCUAACAAGAAUAUGCUCAUAUACUUUCUGUUCAGUGUAGUGGCUGUGCCUUAUGCUUCAAAUUUCGCCUGUGACUGUUCCUCACAACCUUCCAGUGUGGUUGUAGGUAGCAUAUUACAACUUAGAGGUAUUGAGCUGUCUACAAAUGCUCCUUAUAUAUAGAAGUGACUUGCUGAAAGGUGCUUCUGUGUGUCUGUAGAUGCUGCAUUAAGCUUAGAUUUUUUUUUUUCCUGUAGCCCACCUAUUUCUUGCUCUGUGUGCUUCUUCUUUUUGCUUGAAUAGCAUUGAGCAAGAUUUGUAUACUGAUUGCACUCAGUAAAAGUAAGCUCUACAUUCCGUUUUGGAUGUGUGUAUUAAUAUGUGUAGAACAUCUGUUGCAUCUUUUUAGAAACAGCGCGUUGCAGUCUUGGAUCACAUUUCAAAUCUGAAGCCUUUAAGGGUUAUCUGAAGUAACAGUUUAUGUAGUGGGGUUUUCUUACAUGGUGCAAGAAUGAGUAGUGUUUUAGUAUUGGUAUUAGCCUUCUGCAUCAUCAGUCCCUACUAUAGAAGUAGAUCAGCAAAGAGGAAAGGAAAAACUGAACUGGGUGUCCAAAAAAAGCAGGUCCAGUAGACUUUUUUCUUCGUGUGCUUCUGAGUGUCUUGGUUGAAUCUGAAUUUUGGAUGUGCCCAGUUGGCACUGGAGUGAAGGAGAGAGUUUUUUUACUACUGAGAAGCACUUCUGCUGUAGUUCAUAAGCUGAAAUACUGCUCUGUUUGUCAUAUCAUAAAUAAAGAUGAGAUAUUUCAUUAAGUUCAUUCUGUUACGUGAGUCUAAUGUAAGCGUUUAUUUUAAUAUGUAUUUGAGUCCCAUUAAACAGUAGCAUGUCUGGCAUGUGAUACUUUUUUGAAACUCCUUUAGCUUUGAUUCUCAACUGGAAAUGUUUGAAUGGGGAUUCCUGAUCUUUCUGGCUGUUCCAAUGAAAAAUAAGAAUUUAAUAUAUUCUUCUGUAAGUAGUAGGUAUAUACACAGUGUGCACCCAAGGUCCAUUUAGCCUGUUUAGCUGUUUCUCAGCACAGGGAAGUUAACCAGUGAAAGUGUGAAAUACCAAUAUAUGUGAAUGACUGUGCUUAGGAUUACAGAUGGCCAAAGGGAGGAUGAUGGAGGCCUCUACCAGUAACUGCCACUCUUUAGAGGGGUGGGUAAAACCAAAAAGUGUAUUCCUGAUGUUAACCAGAGAACAGUUGCUAUAACAGUAUUUUUAUCAGCAUUUUUAGGUUCUCUAAGCUGUUGUUCACUUAGUAUUUUAAAAAAGGGAACUGAAAAAAGCUCGAAAUUGAAUACAUCAUCAGUGGAGGGGUUGCCCCUAACUGCAGCAACAAGAUGGAUUGUAAGAAGGAAACCUGACUGAAAUCUGUCUUUGUUGGAAAAUAAGCAGGCCUAACCUGUAGUUCUUGUACAGUGUGCAACUUUCAAGUAGCUCAAGGCUAUGUAUGUCUGUCAUCUACUGAUCAUAGAAAUUAUGAAAACAGAGACAUUGUAUGCAACUAUGGAAUUCUGAAAUACCAGUUUAGAGGGGAUCUGCAUGUAAGUAACAUUCUUAUUUCAAGCAGUUGUGCUACAUCUUACAUCACAUGAUUCCUAGCUGUUGUGCAGCAGGAAAGGUUAGCCUUUUCCAAUUCUUCCUCUGGAGCUUGUGGAGGGAAACGCAGAUUGGACUUGUAUUUAACUAUAACUUCCUUCCCUCUGGGAACUCAUGUCUGAACUACUACGGAUUUCUGGCCAUGUGGCAUAUUUUGAUUUCCUGCCCAUAUGUGAAAUUUGAGUAAGCUUUGGCGUCUCAGGGUAGAGAGGGUGACUGGGAGACUUCUUUCUGUGGAAGUAGAAAGUCAUUCCAUGAUUGUCUCCUUCCCCAGCUUUCUGCAUGUGUACAACUAGGUAUACUCUGUAUGCCAUUGUCACCUAGUAGUAUGUAUAAGCUGGCAGUAUAGCAUGUAAGAUUUAAGCUUUCCUAUUAUUAAACUUAAGAACUCUUUCAAAACUUUCAGUACUUUUGCUGUAUCUGAAUGAAAUUGUUACUUUUGAUUGUCAAAAGAAAAUGCUGGACUGAAGGCUAACUCAAAGGAUGGCAGUUUUACGCCUAAGUUUUCACCUGCCAAACAGAGUGCUGAAAUCAGCCUGCAGGUUUUCCAUGUAGUGAACAGAUUGUGAGAAGUGCAUAAAGAAAUCAUGGAUAUUGGCUGAAGAAUGAGGGAUUGUGGUACAGAAAGGAAGGUGCUUAUCUUUAACUAGAUACACGUUUUACUUUGAAUCUGGUUUUGGAACUAGGUGUUCACGCCCAGUUUUCUUCUGUAGCUUUUUGAAAGGGAAGAAUUUCUAGAAACCAAAUCAGCCACCUUUUUAAAUGCAGGAGAACUGGAGUAAGGAAGCCUGUGAGCAUGCAUGCCUCCAAAAUCCUGCAAAUGUUCUUUCACUUACAUUUGUCUGAAUUGCAUAAUCAGUCUUGUGUUUUACAAUGCUCAAUUACUAGGAAUUUAAUUUCCAUGUUUAUAGAUAAUGUUUUCUAUCUAUUUUGUAAUGUAUGCAUUUUGUAAUGUCAAUUUUGUCAUGGUGUUUAGCUUCAUUUUUUUCCCCGCAACACUGUACUCAACUUUAUUAUUGAGGUGUUUAUUUCAUUUGCUUUCUAAUGUGAAAAGAAGCUCCGCUAAACCUGCAGAUUUUUCAAGACAGAGCAAGAGGUGCUUGAAGAGGGGAAGCUAGUGCUCAAGUUCACAAAUCAAAAUAGGCUUGUAGUUACAGCUUAACUGACGGGCAGGAAAAAAGCUGUAGUUCAAGAACACAGCUGGCAACAGGCUCAUGUCUGCCCCCAGAAAAGUAAACUUUUCUGCCACAAUCUCCAGAUCUGUUUGGAUAAUGAUAAAAAGAUACUUGGCAAAAUGCGAGAAUUCUGUGACUGUUUGCCCAAAGUAUAAAUAUUUCAGGCUUUGAGUGCUUGUGUGGCUUACAUGUUGCAGAAAGACUGUCUUAAGUUAUUUUUAGGUUGGGGGAGCAGGAAGAGUACUUGCUUCCUGUCUUCCCCUCCCCCAGGAACUUUGGGUACAUUAAUGAGAAGAAAUAUAGCAACCCCUGAGUUGGUUUACCAGAUCCUAUUGUACAAGGUCAGUACAUUUCCUGACCUGCUUUGUGGAAGGAGUAGUACAGCCACUUAGUGUGCUCCCUUUUGAACCAGCACAAAGGCAUAGAGAGUUUCAACUGAAACAAGUCCACAGUUUACUUGAUAGUUGCAUAUGAAUAGUCUCCAAAACAAUGAGUACUAAAGCUUAUAACUAGAAUUAGUCCUCUAGUUGCUGUUAUGUCAACUUUGAUGCUAUGCACAAGCAUGACUAACUUGAGAAAUCAGUGAAACUGAAUACUCUCCUUCCUCUUAGCUAUUGUAACAUUAAUAUAUUUAGGCAAUAAUCAUUAAUGUCUUCACAUCAGCUGUUGUUUCUCUUCUACAUAGCUACAGAUUCAUCCUACUUGUAGGUGUUGGUACAUAUCCAUGCUAUAAAACAAAGGAACGUGAUAACUUGGUAACGGUACUUGUCCAGUUCAAGGUAUACCAGACUGCUUUACUUAGCAGUUCAGAGGUUUUUUGUUACUUUGAUCCAUAGUGGCAUAAAAAUAGCUGUAGCAGUGCCUUGGAUUUUUUCCUAACCGGGAGAGGGGCAUAAAAAAAGCCGUAGCAGUGCCUUGGAUUUUUUCCUGACAGGGAGAGGCAAAAAAUGCAUUUGGUCCUGGUUACUGUAAAAAUUGUGUAAGACAAUAUAAUUGCUUCUUUUCCUGUUGCAUGAGUAUUGGCAGCAGUACACAGGUUAACACAGGUGUUAACUUUGGGAGAAAAAGUGUCUGGGCCUAUUGUAUGGAUCUUGUUGUUUGCCAUCAGUGUGCACAUGCACUUCAUAAAAGUGAUCACUCUUUCUGACAAAAGCCAGUCUGCAGCAAUCCACAAGAAGUACAGAGCUUCUUGGCACUGUGCAGCGUGUGCAGAACAGGCUUAGAAUCACUCAGGCAAGAAGCAAAAAAAUACUAGCUUUGGCAUGCAGAAGUGUCCCCAUGUGUGGAGCCAGGAUAGAAACACCAGGCUUGUCCUAGCAUGCUCCUCCAGCAGCUACACAGAAGUGUAGCUACACUACUAUGCAGAGCUGUGCUUUUUUUUUCCAGACUUCUGUGUGUUUUCCACUUAGUUAGCAAUGGUAGUUAUGCUGUCUUUGGGGAUAUUGGGUUUGCAGUUAGGUCUAGGGUUUUGUUUCAUUUAAAAUUAAGGUGUUAGGAAACUGAACAGCUCUUGCUGCUUACUUUGAUCCUUCUUGCUGAAGCAAAAAUUUCGUACUGGUAUUAGCUGCCUUGGGAAACAAACCGUGUAUGAGAGGGAACCAGCUGAGAAUGCAAUUUUUGGUAUCUUGAAUUCUGGAGAAAAUGGAGUGUCUGCUUACAGAGGCUUGCAACCUCUUGCAUCACUAAUUAGGCAUGAGCAGUCAUAUCUUCAUCUGAUGUCUGAAUUAAACUUACUCAGUUAAAAAGGUAUAGCAGAGUAUGUUUACUAGUGAGAAAGUUAAGCAAUUCCAGUUGGCUUCAAAUAUAUUUUUAACUUUUAGAUGGAAAAUCAAGAAUUUUGCUGCUAGUUAAACUUUUUUGUCAGUAGUUCUCUGGACUUGUGCAGUUUGCUCUGCAGGGGAUUUCCAUUUUUUUUAACAGUUUUAUUCAAUGCAAAAUUAAUAAUAAACUGAAAAUUUUGUGAACACUUAGCUAGUUAAAUAUUGGUAGGAGUAUCCCUAUAAAAAGAUGAAAAGGAACCUUUUUUAUUAAACAGUAUAUAAAUAUAAGCUGAAGUGGUGAGUCAUAUGAAAGAUGGGCAUAACUCAAUAUCCACUGCUUUCAGUCAGUAGUUCUGCAUGCUGCAGCCAAAUUCUUUGUGGGUAUUGAAUAGUCUGAACAUAAGGAGGGCUGGUGCCUUCUCCUGUUGUUCUUGAUGGAGUUGUAGAUAGUAGAAUUGAGGCUGCAAGGUGAAUCACCUUCCAAUUCUCGGUUUGAUGCUUUAGAAUAAAGCCUUUUGCUGCUUAUUUGGGAACUCACCAAAAAACUUGUCCAAGUUGUGAACCUUUCAUGGGAAGAUGUGUGGGGGCUGGGGUAAGGGGUGUGGUUUUAAGAAGCUUGUGUUUCAAAAUAAGCCUUUCACAAUUCCUGCUUCUGGUCAGAUUGUACAUACUUCACAUGUGUGAAACAUGUGACUUAGCUAGGUAUAAUGUAGCCUGUUAGCAUGUAUCUGUUGGAGGCUGAGGAUAACAUUAUCUGGGUCUAGAAGACUGGGCUAACUUCUUCGUAUAGUGGUCACCCUGAGCUGCUCUAAUUGUGCAUGAGCGUGUAUUACUGGUAGUUAUUUCUAACUGCACCAACAUCUGAGAAGAAAGGAAAGAAGAAAGCCCAUGGUUACAGCUUUCUGGUGGUGUUGAAGAAUCAAUAAUAGGAUGCAAGUGAUAGAUUGAUAUAUAAUACACACAGUAAAGCUAAAGGGAGUGCAUUAAGAUGAAAUUAGGGAUUUCCAGUUAGGAAGAUGGAACAGAAAACUAGAGGAAAGGGACUAGAGAAAUUGGUGAGGUGAGAUGAUAUCAAGAAGAAAAGUGUGGUGAGCUAAUCCAAGAGUAAGAGAAGCUCCUAUGGUGAAGGGAGCCAUUUUUAGAAAUAGUGAAAGAACAGGAAGGCUUACAUGAGAACCUGCUGAAAGUUAAUGUCUGUUAGCUAAUGAUACCUGUCAUCAGCGAGUCGGUACAGAAGUCUGGAAUCAAGGCAUGGCCAAAAACAGCACUGAGACAGCUGAUGGUGUUUUCAGCUUGGCCUGUGGGCUGGAGGAGGAGUCAUGGACCUCUGGUGAAAGUACACUAAAGGAAGACUUGCUGAAAUCUGAAGAAACAGGCUCAGUCACUCAAACUACCUACAGUGGUUCCAGAAUUUGUAAUGUGGACAGGAUAAGGAUUUUUUCUGUGCAGUUAAUGCUGUGCUUUUUUUGCUGGUUUCUCAAGGGAAAAGACUCAACAUGUUGAAUCACAGAGAUGUUACUUCCUGCUGGGUUUUGGGAUUUCCUUGCAGCUCUCUCUCCUCCAUGGCUGCAGGAGCUGUUUUUGCAUAGUGCAUGUUCUAAGGCAGGAACUUGCUGGAGAUGAAGACAGAAGCCAACCAGUUCUGUGCUGAAUGUAAUAGUUUCUGACUCAAAUUGUGUGGUAAUUAUCAGAAUAUCAUAGGGUGUUGUAGGAACUGCUGUGUUGAACAUAGUUGAGGAUUUCUUCUUUCAUAAUUUGCCUAAAUGAGUAUAAAAUGCUAAUCUGAAUUAACAUAUGAAAGUGAGGGGAAAGAUUUCUUGAUAUUUUCUAGCCACUUGAAACCUGAUUGUGUAAAAAAAUAAAUUUCAGUAUGCUGAAGUAUUCAUGGGUUUUUUUCCCCACUUGCUCAAUCUUAACUCCCAUUCUUUCUGAUUUCCCACAGAAAGAAAAGCAACUUGCUGUAGCUUCAAAAUAUUAACAAAAUACUGUGAGCACUGGAAAUAUGAUAGAGUUUCAUAUUACUAUUAGUUUCACUAGGAAUUAAAAACAUGUAAUUCUGGAAAUUAUGGUAGUAAAUUGAUAUCAAGUAUUUUAACAUACAUACCUGCUUCAUACAGCUUGCUUUCCUCACAGAAGAGAAGUAUUCCCAGCAGCUUGUUGCAGUACUGAGUUUAAGCGUCAAGUCUAAGAUUGAUAUGUUUACUGUGAAGGCAAGCUUUGAGAAUUCAUAUGAACUCUACUUCUUCAGCAGUUGUUUUUUAUAAACCAGGUCUUGCAGCUCCAAGAGGCAAACAGGAAAGGGAUGGAGGGGUGGUAGUCAAAUUUUCAGGCAGAUCAACUCUGGUUGGAGUUAAGCUCUCUGAAUGUGGAAUAGUGUCAAACAGUGCAACUCUCCUGUAUCCUUUUUCUUCAAAAAUGGCUUCAGGUAUGCUGUCUUUUUACUUUGCAGUGCUAGAGGAGAGUUCUGGAUGAAGCCAUUUCUCUUGUGUUUUAGCAUCUGCUGUAUGGUGUCCAGUACUGAUUCAGCAAACAGCUCCAUUUGGUGGACUGUCCUCUGGUGGUGUUUGGAGAAAAGGGAAAGAGUUGCUCUCUGAAUGAGUAUCUAAAAUAUGGGACUUCAGAGGACUGCAUGACGUUGUUAAAGCUAAUGACUUAGAGCAUCUAGAAAAGCCACUUCGCAGGAUAAUUCUUCCCAGCUCAUUCCAUGAUAAUGUCUCCAGUGCUUUUGAGUUUUUGUCUCUGGGCUCUAAUGAUCCUAGGGUAUGAACUGUCAUGUAAAGCACUGUCAGAAGUGCAACUUCUGACAUAAUUUUAAAUAAGUGAAUCUUCCAUCCCUAGAUGUAGUUCUUGCUGGAUUUAAAAAAGGCUAUAUAUUUUAAUUAGGUACGGUCUGUGUGCCUAAUUUGAUGUAAAAAAUGCUUGAAAAAAUAGUAUUAAUGAAAAUUUUCCUUAAUGGUGAAUGACAGACAUGUAAGCUACUGUUAGACUCUGUGUGUGUGACUGACUGUUUGUUAAAGGAAAAGCAUGUUUUCAGAGUGUGGUUUUUGGACUUCCAGACAGAUUACACAAACUCAAGGAGGCCCAGCCCACAUCCUGUGUAGAAAACCAGCUCACAGAAAUGCUCAUUGUUCUUCAGGGUUAUAAGUCACUGUGUUUUGUGCCUCCCUUCUAUUUCAAAAUAUUGUAUGGAAAAUACUAAUGCAAAGGAACCACAGCUGAACAAGUGCUUGGUCCUGCCAGGUACUGAGCGCUGUGCUCUUACCAGAAGGCUGGGGACUGGGAUUAAAACAUUAGGCUCCCUGGCUAGAGAACAAAGAGUUUGUGUUAGUAAAAGUAGCUGAGAGUAUUUAUCAGGUGAGUAAAUCAAUUGAUAAUUGACAUACUUCCAACCUGAAAGUUGUUUGUGUGCAGCCAUGCCAGUAUUUACUGUCUUGGAGUGGGAGUUACCGGAUAUGAAGUUUUCUUCAGGCAGGGUGAGUUCUCCACGACACUGAUUCACCUCUGCUCAGUCUUCACUGCAGAAAGAGAGAAUGUGGGGUGUCCAGAUCUGAUAGCCCACCAGAAAGUGGUUAGUGUUUCUGAACUCUACCCAUGCUUAUUGCUGGGUUGUGUUUUUCAACCUGCAAGCUAAUGGACCUAUCCAUGAAGGGAGCUAUCAAGUCAAAAACACUAAACACUCUUCCCUUUUUUGAAUGUACAUUAUCAUCUUGGAGGUUAUUUUUUAAAAACUGAAGUGCUUUCAUUUUUAAAUUUUAAACAGGAAUAGUGUUCCAAUGUUAAUUUUAAGCCACUUUUAUUAUGUUUUUCUUUCUUCAAAAAAACAACAGCUUAUAUUUUUUGCUAGCGUUCAGUACCCAUUUAAGACUAAAGUAUUUGUUAUGAUAAUACAGAUGUAGCUAAGCAGAAGGCUGCCAUGAGAGUGUUUGAGGUCGUGCUCUGCUUUUCUACAGUCCUCUGACAGGAAUCACUUCCCUUUAGUCUCUGCCAGUCUCCUGACUGUGCAGCAUUUCCAAAACAUGUGGAGCAUAAAAUGGGAUUAUAGGGGAGGCAUUCAAGUAAACAGAAGUUCCCUUGGGAUGAGAUUUGCUUUUUCAUGCAGAGCUCCUUGUGUACUGUAGCCUGGCACUGGAGUGAAUUCUCUUGGUGACCCCAAGGGUGGGAGAGCACCCAGGCCAUUCUUAUGUUUUGGGGAUAGUGUCUCCUGGCUGGCACAAUGAAGUCCCCCUUUGCAGUGUUUUUGGAAGGACACACCCAAGUGCAAGUUUCUUUCUGUGUCUCUUCAGUGUGUCUGUGUAACAAUAAAUGACCAGUCUCAUGAUGCAGCUAUAGCUGCCAGAAUUCUGCAGUGAACAUACAGCUGUAUCAGUCAUUAAUUGCACAGUAUUGCUGAAGCAGCCCAAUGCUUUUGUGAGUUGUGUUCAAGGGUAAGUAGCUCCUUAAAGAUAAAAUCCUUUGUGCUUCCAUAGAAGCAUACAGUUACAUUGGUGGAUAAUAUUGUAUUUCUGCGAUGGCAUGGUCCUGUUCAGCCUGUUCUGUUGAAAGUAUACAACCUGGGCAGGCUCGGUCUGCAGUUUGAGUACUUAGGAGUUCUUUGUUGAGACUAAAUUGUGUUGGUCUCAGCAGGGAACAUUUCCAGACCAUCCAUCCUGGCCUAAAUAAGUCAGGCUGUCAUUGUUGCUCCACAGGAUGAUGCUGUGUGGGAUAUCAGGGCACAAAGCCUUCAGACUUGUGUUCAUUUCACUGUAGCUAUGUUUCAUGUUUUGAAAGAACUUGCCACAGAUGGAUGUUGUCCUUCUAUCUCUCCAUUGGCUGCUAGUCACCAGAAGAAUGAUUCAGUCAGUAGUGUUCCCCUUAUCAUAGACUCAUAGAAUGGUCUGCAUUGAAAGGGAUCUUAAAGAUAGCUAAUUCUGCUCCCUGCCAUGGACUGGGACACCUUCCCCUAAACCACAUUACUCAGGGCCCCAUCCAGCCUGUCCUUGCACACUUCGAGAGGUGGGACAUUUGCAGCUUCUAUGGACAACCUGUUCUAGUGUUUCACCACUCUCACACAGUUUAGAUUAGGUAUCAGUAUUUCUUCCUGAUACCUAAUCUAAACUUGCCCUCUUUCAGAUUGAAGCCCUUGUCCUAUCACUACAUGCCCUUGUAGGAAGUCCCUCUCUGGUUUUUCUGUAGGGUCCCUUUGUAUACUGGAAGACUCCUUGUUGCCAGUAGCAAGGCUUCGGAUGCUGGUGGCCUUGUCUUGGCUUCCUGGAGGUGCUGCUCUACCACAGCAUGGCUGCUUUUGUGCAGGGGGAAAGCUGCAAUUGCAAAUACUCUCCUUAAAACAGCAGGAAUUCAUAAAUUCCCUUAGGUGGCUGUAUUCCAGACCUGGCCUGUGUUCAUGAUGUCCCUGAUGUGCUACUGGGUAUUAGUGAGGAAUAUGAUAAGAGAUACCUCCAGACUGGAAGACUUGGUCAGCACAGCCUUAUUUGUACUGACUUUACCUUUCUUUAGAGGCGACUCUGAACAGAAACUGUUAAAUUUCUUGUAAUUGUAAAGCUUUGAACCAAUAGCAGCAGUGAGAAUUUUCAGUUAUCUGAAGACAUGUAUACAUCAGAAAUUCUUGGGUUUUUUUUCUGCACCUGGUACAAAGACGUAGAACAGCCCUGGGAACAGGCAAGACAACCCAGUUGCUGCUGCUGUCAAAAGCAGCAGAUCCAAUCAUUUGUGUACCUCCUAUUGUAACCAAAGCAAAGAAUUAUUUGGUAUGGGUUCUAAAUCGAGAGUCGCUAUUCUUGUUUGGUUUCUUUUUAAAGCCUUUACAAUGGGGAGCAUGCUUACAAAAUUUGAGAGGUAAAUUUGGGGCUUGUAUCUCACACCACAGGUGGUUGCACUCAGGAGCAUUGUCAUUGUCACAGCUGUACACAGCUUUUGUUUCUAGAGGGUCAGAUUUUCUGCCCUCAUCUACAGGUGGGGUAUAAAUGAGAGAAAGGUUGACUUAAUUUGAUGGCAGACUGUUGGUAAGAGUAGUGGUUAUUUGAAGACUGCUUAAUCCUAUUACAGGUUGGGAUUUUUUUUGAAAGUCUGAUUUACGGGUGUAUUUUGUACUGGAGCCCAUUUAAGAGCUGGGUCUGAAUAAAUCUGUCAUUUGCUACAUCUCCAUUGGUGUUUUCAUCAUAUCUUAACUGAGAGUUAAACAGGGUUACUAAAUAAAAUUUUCUGAAGGUUAAGGAGAUUAAUAUUUUUAAUACCUGCAGGUUUUAGGAAAACAUGCUGAAUUAUAUAGGGAAGUACCAACUUAUUUAAUAACUGUAUUUUUCUAAUAAAUAUAGAUGAUAUAACUGCAGGGAACUGAAAAUGUCGUGUCAAUAACAGUAGCACCUGCUUGUAUUUCAUUUAAUUUGUGUGUGGGAUUGUUUAUGUUGUAGAAAAUGGCAGUUUAUGAGCCAGCUUUUGAGGGGAAUGAUACGUUGCCAAGGCUGCAAUAUUUUGUAUUAUUCUGUACGGGCUCUGUAUCAUAACUCAGAGUAUUUGAGAGCUUCCUUCCCUUUGCAGUCCAUCUGCUUAGCACUGCUGACAGGAAGGUGAAGUUGCAGUGAGCUGGGUCAGCAGGAGAAAUCUCACUUUCCUUACAGUGUUUGAUGCCCGUGUAGCUUUAUGACUGACUUGUUACAGAGUCGGGUAGGUGUCAGUGCAAGGGAAGGGGCAAUCUCCUGAUUUGACAGCAGUUGGCAAUCCGAUUGGCUUUAUGGUUUCAUGAAGUCCUGUCUGUAAGUUAUGCCCACAUCUGUAACUAUCUGGAAAUCCAUGGUUGUUGAAGGCUUUGCUUUCCUGCUGCCAAGUGCCACCCGUCUCUUGAGCACUGCCGCUGUUGGUCAGCUGCUUGACAAAAAGGUAGGUAGGGGAAACAGACUCGGUUGGCUGUGAGCUUCUAGGAUCUGCUGGUUAGAGAUUUCUAGGACUGAUGGAGAGAAAACUGCUUAACACAUCAGGUUCAAAUGGGCCUGUGUGUUCACAUUACAGGAUGAAAUACGUGACUCUAAAGAAGUAUUAGCUCAGACCUGGGCAACUGCAAUGUUCUGGAAAAUAAAGGAAUCCACAUAGUAGAAAGACACAUACAGGAAUGGCUUGCCAAGACAGUUGGUAAUGCACUAUUACCAACUGUA
This is a long non-coding RNA of Pyrgilauda ruficollis (rufous-necked snowfinch), 18462 nucleotides long. RefSeq lists it as uncharacterized. The transcript has 3 exons. The record is from RefSeq and is a predicted model, not a curated record. NCBI's taxonomy places the organism in Eukaryota, Metazoa, Chordata, Aves, Passeriformes, Passeridae.